This 429-nucleotide ribosomal RNA is filed under the name Chloroflexota bacterium. RNAcentral's name for it is "Chloroflexi bacterium partial 16S ribosomal RNA". It matches the Rfam family "Bacterial small subunit ribosomal RNA", at positions 355 to 776 of the family's 1533-position model. The record is from RNAcentral. Lineage: Bacteria; Bacillati; Chloroflexota.
UAGGGAAUCUUCGGCAAUGGACGAAAGUCUGACCGAGCAACGCCGCGUGAGUGAAGAAGGUUUUCGGAUCGUAAAACUCUGUUGUUAGAGAAGAACAAGGACGUUAGUAACUGAACGUCCCCUGACGGUAUCUAACCAGAAAGCCACGGCUAACUACGUGCCAGCAGCCGCGGUAAUACGUAGGUGGCAAGCGUUGUCCGGAUUUAUUGGGCGUAAAGCGAGCGCAGGCGGUUUCUUAAGUCUGAUGUGAAAGCCCCCGGCUCAACCGGGGAGGGUCAUUGGAAACUGGGAGACUUGAGUGCAGAAGAGGAGAGUGGAAUUCCAUGUGUAGCGGUGAAAUGCGUAGAUAUAUGGAGGAACACCAGUGGCGAAGGCGGCUCUCUGGUCUGUAACUGCCGCUCAGGUGCGAAAGCGUGGGGAGCAAACAGG